UGGGGAAUAUUGGACAAUGGGCGCAAGCCUGAUCCAGCCAUACCGCGUGGGUGAAGAAGGCCUUCGGGUUGUAAAGCCCUUUUGUUGGGAAAGAAAUCCAGCUGGUUAAUACCCGGUUGGGAUGACGGUACCCAAAGAAUAAGCACCGGCUAACUUCGUGCCAGCAGCCGCGGUAAUACGAAGGGUGCAAGCGUUACUCGGAAUUACUGGGCGUAAAGCGUGCGUAGGUGGUCGUUUAAGUCUGUUGUGAAAGCCCUGGGCUCAACCUGGGAACUGCAGUGGAAACUGGACGACUAGAGUGUGGUAGAGGGUAGCGGAAUUCCUGGUGUAGCAGUGAAAUGCGUAGAGAUCAGGAGGAACAUCCAUGGCGAAGGCAGCUACCUGGACCAACACUGACACUGAGGCACGAAAGCGUGGGGAGCAAACAGGAUUAGAUACCCUGGUAGUCCACGCCCUAAACGAUGCGAACUGGAUGUUGGAUGCAAUUUGGCACGCAGUAUCGAAGCUAACGCGUUAAGUUCGCCGCCUGGGGAGUACGGUCGCAAGACUGAAACUCAAAGGAAUUGACGGGGUCAUAGC
This 579-nucleotide ribosomal RNA is filed under the name uncultured bacterium. RNAcentral describes it as "partial 16S ribosomal RNA". It matches the Rfam family "Bacterial small subunit ribosomal RNA", at positions 355 to 925 of the family's 1533-position model. The record is from RNAcentral.